GACGAACGCUGGCGGCGUGCUUAACACAUGCAAGUCGAACGGAAAGGCCCUGCUUUUGUGGGGUGCUCGAGUGGAGAACGGGUGAGUAACACGUGAGUAACCUGCCCUUGACUUUGGGAUAACUUCAGGAAACUGGGGCUAAUACCGGAUAGGAGCUCCUGCUGCAUGGUGUGGGUUGGAAAGUUUCGGCGGUUGGGGAUGGACUCGCGGCUUAUCAGCUUGUUGGUGGGGUAGUGGCUUACCAAGGCUUUGACGGGUAGCCGGCCUGAGAGGGUGACCGGCCACAUUGGGACUGAGAUACGGCCCAGACUCCUACGGGAGGCAGCAGUGGGGAAUAUUGCACAAUGGGCGGAAGCCUGAUGCAGCAACGCCGCGUGCGGGAUGACGGCCUUCGGGUUGUAAACCGCUUUCGCCUGUGACGAAGCGUGAGUGACGGUAAUGGGUAAAGAAGCACCGGCUAACUACGUG
RNAcentral lists this ribosomal RNA (468 nucleotides) under uncultured bacterium. RNAcentral describes it as "partial 16S ribosomal RNA". It matches the Rfam family "Bacterial small subunit ribosomal RNA", at positions 28 to 507 of the family's 1533-position model. The record is from RNAcentral.